Non-coding RNA from Erythranthe guttata (spotted monkey flower), 98 nucleotides. Lineage: Eukaryota; Viridiplantae; Streptophyta; Magnoliopsida; Lamiales; Phrymaceae. The record is from Rfam.
UUGCAACCGACGAUGUUGGAAUGGCUCAAUCAAAUCAAAACUCCUGAGAAUCGGGUCUUUUAGUUUGAUUGAGCCGUGCCAAUAUCAUGUUCAGGAAA